CAGCAGCCGCGGUAAAACAGAGGGUGCGAGCGUUAAUCGGAUUUACUGGGCGUAAAGCGUGCGUAGGCGGCUUUUUAAGUCGGAUGUGAAAUCCCUGAGCUUAACUUAGGAAUUGCAUUCGAUACUGGGAAGCUAGAGUAUGGGAGAGGAUGGUAGAAUUCCAGGUGUAGCGGUGAAAUGCGUAGAGAUCUGGAGGAAUACCGAUGGCGAAGGCAGCCAUCUGGCCUAAUACUGACGCUGAGGUACGAAAGCAUGGGGAGCAAACAGGAUUAGAUACCCGUGUAGUCCCUGUCUCUUAUAC
Molecule: ribosomal RNA, 301 nt
Filed under: uncultured bacterium
Lineage: Bacteria
Description: partial 16S ribosomal RNA
Rfam family: Bacterial small subunit ribosomal RNA
Source: RNAcentral